GCAUUCAUGGUGUAAUGGUAGCACACUCGGCGUGUAUUCCAGAGGUCCAUGUUCGAGUCACGGUGAUGGCA
RNAcentral lists this transfer RNA (71 nucleotides) under Stegodyphus mimosarum. It matches the Rfam family "tRNA". From Rfam's summary of the family: Transfer RNA (tRNA) molecules are approximately 80 nucleotides in length. Their secondary structure includes four short double-helical elements and three loops (D, anti-codon, and T loops). The record is from Rfam by way of RNAcentral. Lineage: Eukaryota; Metazoa; Arthropoda; Arachnida; Araneae; Eresidae.